AAUGAAAUUGCUGGGUUAGAUGACAACUCUGUGUUUAAUAAUUUGAAGAAACAGCAAACUGUUUUUGUAACAUAGCUGCACUAUUUUGCAUUCCCAUCAGCAAU
RNAcentral lists this microRNA precursor (104 nucleotides) under Marmota monax (woodchuck). Lineage: Eukaryota; Metazoa; Chordata; Mammalia; Rodentia; Sciuridae. The record is from RNAcentral.